This 440-nucleotide ribosomal RNA is filed under the name uncultured bacterium. Its description in RNAcentral is "partial 16S ribosomal RNA". It matches the Rfam family "Bacterial small subunit ribosomal RNA", at positions 338 to 795 of the family's 1533-position model. The record is from RNAcentral.
CCUACGGGAGGCAGCAGUGGGGGAUAUUGCACAAUGGGGGAAACCCUGAUGCAGCGACGCCGCGUGUGUGAAGACGGUCCUCUGGAUUGUAAACCACUGUCCCCAGGGACGAAGAUGACGGUACCUGGGGAGGAAGCUCCGGCUAACUACGUGCCAGCAGCCGCGGUAAUACGUAGGUAGAGAGCGUUGUCCGGACUUACGGGGGGAAAGGGGAGCGUAGGCGGAAUGCCAAGUCAGCGGUAAAAGCGCGGGGCUCAACCUCGCUCCGCCUUUGAAACUGGCGUUCUUGAGUGGGCGAGAAGUAUGCGGAAUGCGUGGUGUAGCGGUGAAAUGCAUAGAUAGCACGCAGAACUCCGAUUGCGAAGGCAGCAUACCGGCGCCCAACUGACGCUGAAGCACGAAAGCGUGGGUAUCGAACAGGAUUAGAUACCCGGGUAGUC